RNAcentral lists this ribosomal RNA (549 nucleotides) under uncultured Glomus. RNAcentral's name for it is "SSU rRNA". It matches the Rfam family "Eukaryotic small subunit ribosomal RNA", at positions 548 to 1098 of the family's 1831-position model. Lineage: Eukaryota; Fungi; Glomeromycota; Glomeromycetes; Glomerales; Glomeraceae. The record is from RNAcentral.
UUGGAGGGCAAGUCUGGUGCCAGCAGCCGCGGUAAUUCCAGCUCCAAUAGCGUAUAUUAAAGUUGUUGCAGUUAAAAAGCUCGUAGUUGAAUUUCGGGAUCAAUAUGUCGGUCGUGCCUUCGGUACGUACUGGUAUCAUUGGUCUCUCCUUUCUGACGAACCAUGAUGUCAUUAAUUUGGUGUUAUGGGGAGUUAGGACUGUUACUUUGAAAAAAUUAGAGUGUUUAAAGCAGGCUCACGCUUGAAUACAUUAGCAUGGAAUAAUGAAAUAGGACGUUUGAUUCUAUUUUGUUGGUUUCUAGGAUCGACGUAAUGAUUAAUAGGGAUAGUUGGGGGCAUUAGUAUUCAAUUGUCAGAGGUGAAAUUCUUGGAUUUAUUGAAGACUAACUACUGCGAAAGCAUUUGCCAAGGAUGUUUUCAUUAAUCAAGAACGAAAGUUAGGGGAUCGAAGACGAUCAGAUACCGUCGUAGUCUUAACCAUAAACUAUGCCGACUAGGGAUCGGAUGAUGUUAAUUUUUUAAUGACUCAUUCGGCGCCUUACGGGAAAC